GGUGGACGCUCGGGCGGAGCUACGUGUGCCAACGUGCGCUGGGCGGGGCGACUGGCCAACCUUGUGGGAUUACGUCAGCGCUGCCACCACGGCUCGCGCCUGCGCAGGAAGCAACAGAGGGCGGCUCAGGGCCUGAGGCGGAGCUGUUGGAGGCACGCGCACGCGCGUACCCGCUGUUCUGCGCGUUCCUUGCCGCGGCGACUGGACACCGUAGCUCCUAGCUGGCGUGCUGCGGGUGGCCCGCGGCCGGUCUCCCGCAGGGGGCGCGGAGGGCGGGUCCGUGCCCUACUGGGCACCUGCAGUCUUCCCAGUCUUCGGUCCAGGCUCGUGGACGGAGCCGCCCCACAACGGUUCCACUGGGUGAAAUGCAGCUGCUGCCGGGAGGCUCUCCAGCCUGCUGUUUGCACCCAGUCCUUAAUCCUAACUAAACCUUCUACGAAACAUCGGCUAAGGUUCAGUUUGCCUUCGCAGCACAUGGCUGAUCUUUCCUUCCUGCGGCCGCUGCGCACUGUCUUACCAGCCCGUGUCGGGGAGAGAGAGAGAGAGAAAGACAAAUGCAAAUUAAAAUUGAGCUUAACUCGCCCUGUUGGAAGUGCGAGGGUGCCCUAAAGGCUCACUGUAGGAAUCGUCUCGAACAGGAAACUGCUAGCCCCAGUGCUGCUUCACAGCCUACGACGAGGGCAGCUCUGAAACGCGAGUGCCAGGGGGACAGCAGCCCAACUGACGUGGAGUGCGUCGCCUCAAGUCGCAAAACUUGCCUCCUGUCGCAAAGAGCAGGACCCUCGAGCCGGCUGUCCACACAGCAGAGGCCCCGUAAAUCCAUGAGGAAAGAUUGGCCGGCGUCUCUGCUGAGGAAGACUCGGCACUGUGGUCCUUGACUCCAGGAGACGGCAAAAUCGCUUUUCACCGGUGCUCAGCAGGCCUGGAGUUGUUUUAAUGACUUGCCUUACGAAAAGGUGGCCAGCUUCUCCAGCGUAUUGGCCAUUUGUGUAUCUCUUAUGGAGAAAUCUAUUCAGAUUCUUUGUCCAUUUUUAAAUUGAGUUGUAACUAUUGAGUGUGAUAGUCUUUUUAUAUUUUGGAUAAAAAGUACCUUCCCAGUGUAGCAAAAGGCAGCUUCUAGGCAGGAAAAAGACAGGUUUUAUUUAAAAAUUAAUGGGAAAUCUUACUGGGGGCAGCUUCUGCUUCUAUAGGUAGACUCUACAGUUAGAGCAAUUCGAACGACAGAGACAGACAACACCCAGAGAGGCGCCCACCAUGAGAAUUUAUCAGAAAGAGUUAACAAAGCAAGGAGGAAGCCAGAAACUUGAAAGAACAGGGAAAUCAGCCCCCUCAUCCACCUCUGAUAAAAUGCAAAAGAGACAAGAUGGCAGCCACCUAAGGACUCUUAUUUAAUAUUUAAAAGACACACCCCGAUACAUACUUAUAUGUAUAUUCUCAGUUUAGCAUCACUAUUCCUCCACCAGAUAUAUACCUGUCCCCUUUGCUUGGUCAUUAACUCUAAGUUACUUUAUAAGCAUCCCCAUCCAUCGCAAAAGGGCAGAAAGGUAUCAAAGGCCAGAAAGAAUCUAGACAGAAGUGCCAGGUUAGGAUCAAAGGCAGCCAGACAGCCAAUCAGAUGGAUGGUGAACUUCUGACACAUGAGGGAUGGAAGAAAUCACUAGUCCUAAAUAAAAAGAGACUGAGGAUAAAAAUCCACGGGUACUCACUUCUGAUGCUCCCUAUUCUUCCAAGGUAGCUAUCUAUCUUCUUUUUUCUGUCUUUUCCGAAAUAAACAGUCUUAUAAAGUCU
Molecule: long non-coding RNA, 1788 nt
Organism: Heterocephalus glaber (naked mole-rat)
Lineage: Eukaryota; Metazoa; Chordata; Mammalia; Rodentia; Bathyergidae
Source: RefSeq, a predicted model, not a curated record